UUCGGUUCGAUUAUGGCUCAAGAUUGAACGCUGGCGGGAUUAACUUUACACAUGCAAGUCAGACGGCAGCACGGACUUCGGUCUGGUGGCGAGUGGCGAACGGGUGAGUAAUGUAUCGGAACGUGCCUAGUAGCGGGGGAUAACUACGCGAAAGCGUAGCUAAUACCACAUACGCCCUUCGAAAGGGAAAGCGGGGACCUUCCGGGCCUCGCACUAUUAGAGCAGCCGAUAUCGGAUUAGCUAGUUGGUGGGGUAACGGCUCACCAAGGCGACGAUCAGCAGCUGGUUUAGAGAGGACGACCAGCCACGCUGGGACUGAGACACGGCCCAGACUCCUACGGGAGGCAGCAGUGGGGAAUUUUGGACAAUGGGGGAAACCUGAUCCAGCCAUCCCGCGUGUGCGAUAGAAGGCCUUCGGGUUGUAAAGCACUUUUGGCAGGAAAGAAACGGCACGGGAUAAUACCCCGUGCAACUGACGAAACACCUGCAGAAUAAGCACCGGCUAACUACGUGCCAACAGCCGCGGUAAUACGUAAGUGCAAGCGUUAAUCGGAAUUACUGGGCGUAAAGCGUGCGCGAGCGGUUCGGAAAGAAAGAUGUGAAAUCCCAGAGCUUAACUUUGGAACUGCAUUUUUUAACUACCGAGCUAGAGUGUGUCAGAGGGAGGUGGAAUUCCGCGUGUAGCAGUGAAAUGCGUAGAUAUGCGGAGGAACACCGAUGGCGAAGGCAGCCUCGGGAUAACACUGACGCUCAUGCACAGCGUGGGAGCAAGCAAGUUAGAUACCCUGGUAGUCCACGCCCUAAACGAUGUCAACUAGCUGUUGGGGCCUUCGGGCCUUGGUAGCGCAGCUAACGCGCGUGAAGUUGACCGCCUGGGGAAAUUGGUCGCAGAUUAAAACUCAAAGGAAUUGACGGGGACCCGCACAAGCGGUGGAUGAUGUGGAUUAAUUCGAUGCAACGCCAAAACCUUACCUACCCUUGACAUGUCUGGAAUCCCGAAGAGAUUUGGGAGUGCUCGCAAGAGGAACCGGAACACAGGUGCUGCGUGGCUGUCGUGGCUCGUGUCGUGAGAUGUUGGGUUAAGUCCUGGCAGGCGCAACCCUUGUCAUUAGUUGCUACGAAAGGGCACUCUAAUGAGACUGCCGGUGACAAACCGGAGGAAGGUGGGGAUGACGUCAAGUCCUCAUGGCCCUUAUGGGUAGGGCCCUACGUCCUUACAAUGGUCGGGACAGAGGGUCGCCAACCCGCGAGGGGGAGCCAAUCCCAGAAACCCGAUCGUAGUCUGGAUCGCAGUCUGCAACUCGACUGCGUGAAGUCAGAAUCGCUAGUAAUCGCGGAUCAGCAUGUCGCGGUGAAUACGUUCCCGGGUCUUGUACACACCGCCCGUCACACCAUGGGAGUGGGUUUUACCAGAAAUAGUUAGCCUAACCGUAAGGAGGGCGAUUACCACGGUAGGAUUCAUGACUGGGGUGAAGUCGUAACAAGGUAA
This 1489-nucleotide ribosomal RNA is filed under the name uncultured Bordetella sp. RNAcentral's name for it is "partial 16S-23S ribosomal RNA intergenic spacer". It matches the Rfam family "Bacterial small subunit ribosomal RNA". Lineage: Bacteria; Pseudomonadati; Pseudomonadota; Betaproteobacteria; Burkholderiales; Alcaligenaceae. The record is from RNAcentral.